GAUGAACGCUAGCGGCAGGCCUAAUACAUGCAAGUCGAACGGUAAGGCCCUUUCGGGGGUACACGAGUGGCGGACGGGUGCGUAACGCGUAUGCAACCUACCUUUCAGCGGGGGAUAGCCUAGAGAAAUUUAGAUUAAUACCCCAUGGCAUCUUUAAACUGCAUGGUUUGAAGAUUAAAGAUUUAUCACUGAAAGAUGGGCAUGCGUGACAUUAGCUAGUUGGUGAGGUAAUGGCUCACCAAGGCGACGAUGUCUAGCUGGUCUGAGAGGAUGAUCAGCCACACUGGGACUGAGACACGGCCCAGACUCCUACGGGAGGCAGCAGUAGGGAAUAUUGGACAAUGGGCGCAAGCCUGAUCCAGCCAUGCCGCGUGAAGGAAGACGGCCCUCCGGGUUGUAAACUUCUUUUAGCAGGGAAUAAACCCCUUCUAUAUGAUAGGUUGAAGGUACCUGCAGAAUAAGCACCGGCUAACUCCG
Molecule: ribosomal RNA, 477 nt
Filed under: uncultured Bacteroidota bacterium
Lineage: Bacteria; Pseudomonadati; Bacteroidota
Description: bacterial SSU rRNA
Rfam family: Bacterial small subunit ribosomal RNA
Source: RNAcentral